Mycena vulgaris is the source of this 92-nucleotide non-coding RNA. Lineage: Eukaryota; Fungi; Basidiomycota; Agaricomycetes; Agaricales; Mycenaceae. The record is from the annotation of a GenBank genome assembly.
UCAGAUUUGGUGUAGUGGGAAUAAGGCCCCUUUUUCAUAUGAUUUUGAUGAAUUUUCAGUGGCAGUUCAGAGUUCGAUUCCCUGUGUCUGAG